This 442-nucleotide unclassified non-coding RNA is filed under the name Sonerila erecta. RNAcentral's name for it is "partial contains external transcribed spacer and small subunit ribosomal RNA". The record is from RNAcentral. Lineage: Eukaryota; Viridiplantae; Streptophyta; Magnoliopsida; Myrtales; Melastomataceae.
CCGUGCUUUUAGCAUCGAACUGUGUUGGCUUGUCUUUUUCAUUAUCGGGCUCGCGUCAUCGCUUCUAGCGUCGGUUGUGGUCGCUCGUUCGGGUUCCUGCGUGUCAUAUCGGACAGGACAUUUGGAUGGACUUUCGUCCCGGAUCGUUUUUUGAAUCCUCCCCCGCUUCGUGCGGUUUCGGCGGUGAUGCGUUUGUGUCGGCAAUCGUCAUCCGAGUCGCGCAGUCGCUCGUGAUGGUUUGCCGAUGCGAUCGGCUUUCUCGGGUGCUGAGAAUUUCUCGUCAUCGCAUCGGCCACUCGGCCCUUGUGAGCGUGACGCUACCGAGCAUUGUGGCUCUCGUUUCAUACGACCCUCGUUCUCCUCCGGGAGCUCACGGAGCUUCGCUGUUCCGUGUCGUGACUGGAGAGCGAUCGAGGUCGAGGACGGAAUCUACCUGGUUGAU